Molecule: ribosomal RNA, 440 nt
Filed under: uncultured bacterium
Lineage: Bacteria
Description: bacterial SSU rRNA
Rfam family: Bacterial small subunit ribosomal RNA
Source: RNAcentral
AACGCGAAGAACCUUACCUACCCUUGACAUGUCAGGAAAUUAGCAGAGAUGCGGAUGUGCCGAAAGGAACCUGAACACAGGUGCUGCAUGGCUGUCGUCAGCUCGUGUUGUGAGAUGUUGGGUUAAGUCCCGUAACGAGCGCAACCCUUAUCCUUAGUUACCAACACGUAGAGGUGGGGACUCUAAGGAGACUGCUGGUGAUGAACCGGAGGAAGGCGGGGACGACGUCAAGUCAUCAUGGCCUUUAUGGGUAGGGCUACACACGUGCUACAAUGGGCAGUACAGAGGGUAGCGAACCCGUGAGGGGGAGCCAAUCCCAGAAAGCUGCUCGUAGUCCGGAUUGGAGUCUGCAACUCGACUUCAUGAAGUCGGAAUCGCUAGUAAUCGCGAAUCAGAAUGUCGCGGUGAAUACGUUCCCGGGCCUUGUACACACCGGCUAC